RNAcentral lists this unclassified non-coding RNA (684 nucleotides) under Hevea brasiliensis (rubber tree). The record is from RNAcentral. Lineage: Eukaryota; Viridiplantae; Streptophyta; Magnoliopsida; Malpighiales; Euphorbiaceae.
UCCUAAUUCAGUACUCUACGUGAGUUUUGGGAGUAUUGCAGCUAUAAAUGAGGCUGAAUUUCAAGAGAUAGCUUGGGGGCUAGCCAACAGCAAGCAACCCUUCUUGUGGGUGGUUCGACCUGGAUUAGUCAAUGGCUCUGAAUGGCUUGAACCAUUGCCUGAUGGGUUCUUGGAGAUGACUGGAGGAAGAGGACUUAUUGUGAAAUGGGCUCCCCAGCAGGAAGUGCUUGCACACCCUGCCAUUGGAGGGUUUUGGACACACAAUGGCUGGAAUUCAACAUUGGAAGGUCUCUGUGAAGGGGUCCCCAUGAUAUGUCUGCCUAAUUUUGGUGACCAAUUGAUAAAUGCAAGAUAUGUGAGCAAUGUUUGGAGAGUUGGAAUACAUCUAGAGAACAAUUUGGAUAGAGGAAAUAUAGAAAGUGCAAUUAAAAGGCUAAUGGUGGAGGCAGAGGGGCAGGAAUUGAGAAUAAGAACUCUAAAUUUGAAGGGUAGAGUGGAUCUUUGUCUAAGGGGAAAGGGAUCUUCUUGCCAAAAUCUUGAGCAUUUGAUCAACUACAUUUUAUCAUUCUAGUAUGCAAGGUUGCAACUUGUGUUCAAUGAUUUUGAGAAAUAAAUAUUUGUUUAUGCCAUCAAUUAAGCUUGUGGUUUAAGGUUAAUUUAUCAUAAAAUUGAGCUUACUCAAUG